RNAcentral lists this ribosomal RNA (202 nucleotides) under uncultured bacterium. RNAcentral's name for it is "partial 16S ribosomal RNA". It matches the Rfam family "Bacterial small subunit ribosomal RNA", at positions 1300 to 1500 of the family's 1533-position model. The record is from RNAcentral.
GCAGGCUGCAACUCGCCUGCAUGAAGUUGGAAUUGCUAGUAAUCGCGAAUCAGAAUGUCGCGGUGAAUACGUUCCCGGGCCUUGUACACACCGCCCGUCACACCAUGAGAGUCGAUAACACCCGAAGCCUGUGAGCUAACCUUUUAGGAGGCAGCAGUCGAAGGUGGGGUUGAUGAUUGGGGUGAAGUCGUAACAAGGUAGC